CCUGGAGAUGUUGCUGAGCGUUCGUCCCACUCUUUUCUUGAGACUGACUGAUCAGAGCACAACUUGCAUUUUUCGCUGCACCUUGGUCCCUUGCGUUUUGGCUUUUUCUACAGAGAGCAGUUCAUUGUUACUAUACCUUUUAUUGUUCUUUUCUUGAAAAAAAAAAAACUAAAAAAAUUGUUUAUUGCAUUUUACAAGUUAUAUUUACACAGUGUCUCUUUCAUUGUUGCUUGACUUUUUUUUUAAUUUAUUUAUUUUUUAUUUAUUUAUUUAUUUAUUUAUUUAUAUAUAUAUUUUUUUCCCCUUCCUUCCUGAGACUACUUUGCAGGUUUUGUUCUUUCAGGCUCAACAGCUGUUACGUCGGGACAGAACUUUCAAAGAUGCCAUGGAAAGGAAAGAGAUCUCAGGCUCAAAAAAUGCAUUGGAGAAAGGUGGACCUGGAAGAUGGACAGUUGCAGGAAGAAUUUGGAGACCAUAGCAGUCCUGUCCAAGACCGGAUAUGAGUCUGCAAUAUACCAUCUAAAGCUAAGUUUUUAAUGAUUUUGCUUCAGUCACUGUACUACUGCACAUUAUAACCACAUUUGCAGGAAAAUGUUCAAUCUUGAUCUGAUUUUGAUAUUUACCAGCAACCAGCCAAUUGAAGUCAGAAUUUCUUAGAUCAAGUGUGCUACAAUGCUGAUGGAUGACAAGGUGGAUAAUAGCAUAUGUGCUAGUUUCAUUCUGUAAGGUUUAGUUGAGAGUUAAUUCUUUUUGUACUUUUAGUUCUUCUGUAUGUAGUGAUCCCUUUAUUCAUUCAUUAAUUUCAUGCCCAGAGGACGGGACCAAAUGUUUACGGCAUUGACGACAAUACUGGAGAAGCAGAGGAAGAAGCACACUAAAGCACUGAGGAUAUCCAGCCUGUAGGCCGUGCCAGAUCCAGCGGCUAGAUGGCAGAUGCUUCAUUAGACCACUGAAUAUAUCUAAUCAUUGGAUUAUCAAUUAAUUCAUCUUAAUAUAUAUAAAUUAUUUUAUAAUCAUUAAAUAAUUGGUCUCAAUUUCUAGAUAUAUUAAUAUUUCAUAUAUUGGCUUAAAUAAGAAUUUUACUGUAAGGUGUGCCAUGCCAGAGGAGGAUGGGCUCCCCCUGUUGAGUCUGGUUCCUCUCAAGGUUUUUUACCUCCUAACUCUUUGGAGUUUUUUCCUAGCCACCUUCGCCAUUGGCUUGCUCACUGGGGGUGUUGUGCCAGGUCCUGUCUACCUCUUGGGUCCUUACUGACAAGGGUUUCCAAAAUGAGGCUUUUGUGAAUUGAUGAAAAUCUUAUAAUGAAUUAAAUCGUGAAAAUGUGAAUUAAAGUAAAAAAAAAAAAAUAGGACUGCACAAUUACUUUGAAAGGAGCAGUUAAAUAAUGUUAUGGCUUAGUGUGAGUAGAGUGUAGACUAAGCUACAAACAGAUGCAAUUUAAUUACAUAAAUAUAUUCUGAUGCAUUGUGUUUCAGAGUGAAGGGUGUGCAGCUCUUGAUCUGUUGUUAAAUGUUUCAGUUCACAGUACAAGCUGCUGCACACAAACUCAAUAUCUGAAUGUGCUAUACUUUUGAGUGACUUACAAUCAAGCUGUAAGCCCCAAGACACCAGUGA
Molecule: long non-coding RNA, 1612 nt
Organism: Ictalurus punctatus (channel catfish)
Lineage: Eukaryota; Metazoa; Chordata; Actinopteri; Siluriformes; Ictaluridae
Source: Ensembl